Molecule: ribosomal RNA, 31 nt
Filed under: Fomitopsis betulina (razor strop fungus)
Lineage: Eukaryota; Fungi; Basidiomycota; Agaricomycetes; Polyporales; Fomitopsidaceae
Description: Piptoporus betulinus (razor strop fungus) partial 28S ribosomal RNA
Source: RNAcentral
GUAGGAUUACCCGCUGAACUUAAGCAUAUCA